This 477-nucleotide ribosomal RNA is filed under the name uncultured bacterium. RNAcentral's name for it is "partial 16S ribosomal RNA". It matches the Rfam family "Bacterial small subunit ribosomal RNA", at positions 28 to 507 of the family's 1533-position model. The record is from RNAcentral.
GAUUAACGCUGGCGGCGUGCAUAACACAUGCAAGUCGAACGAUGAAACUUAAAUGAUUUCUUCGGAAUGAACUUAAGUGGAUUAGUGGCGGACGGGUGAGUAACGCGUGAGUAACCUGCCUUACACAAGGGGAUAGCCGUUGGAAACGACGAAUAAUACCCUAUGAAACUAUCACUUCGCAUGAAGCGAUAGUCAAAGUGUUAGCGGUGUAAGAUGGACUUGCGUCUGAUUAGCUAGUUGGUGAGAAAAAAGCCCACCAAGGCAACGAUCAGUAGCCGGCUUGAGAGAGUGUACGGCCACAUUGGGACUGAGACACGGCCCAGACUCCUACGGGAGGCAGCAGUGGGGAAAUUUGCACAAUGGGGGAAACCCUGAUGCAGCGACGCCGCGUGAUUUAGAAGGCCUUCGGGUUGUAAAAAUCUUUUGUAUAGGAAGAAAAUGACAGUACUAUACGAAUAAGGUCCGGCUAAUUACGUG